Molecule: unclassified non-coding RNA, 287 nt
Filed under: Hevea brasiliensis (rubber tree)
Lineage: Eukaryota; Viridiplantae; Streptophyta; Magnoliopsida; Malpighiales; Euphorbiaceae
Source: RNAcentral
AGACGUGUUUGCCUACUUAAUAUCUGCCAACAAAAUACAUUUUGUUAAGACGAAAAACAAGAAUCCAUUGGAAAAAACAUGCAAAAACACUAGGUGAUUUCUUUCGACUUGUCCAAGCCUUAGUGAGAGGGAGGUACUAAUUGACGUGCGUGAAAACUUGGCCAAGACACCACAGUCGAAUAAAAAAAAUGCACAUUUGAUAGACCAACAAACAGAAGGCUUGAAAUAAAAUAGGGAGUCUGUGUAACUAAAUAUACUAUUGACUUCUUUAGUUUACAUGAAACAAA